AUUUAAAUACAUCUCAUGUUGAGGUUCAAC
RNAcentral lists this non-coding RNA (30 nucleotides) under Clostridium ljungdahlii. RNAcentral also lists the same sequence under 1 other name. The record is from RNAcentral. Lineage: Bacteria; Bacillati; Bacillota; Clostridia; Eubacteriales; Clostridiaceae.